Molecule: ribosomal RNA, 441 nt
Filed under: uncultured bacterium
Lineage: Bacteria
Description: partial 16S ribosomal RNA
Rfam family: Bacterial small subunit ribosomal RNA
Source: RNAcentral
CCUACGGGCGGCAGCAGUGGGGGAUAUUGCACAAUGGGGGGAACCCUGAUGCAGCGACGCCGCGUGGGUGAAGGAGUGCUUCGGCAUGUAAAGCCCUAUCGGCAGGGAAGAAGCAAGACGGUACCUGACUAAGAAGCCCCGGCUAACUACGUGCCAGCAGCCGCGGUAAUACGUAGGGGGCGAGCGUUAUCCGGAUUCACUGGGUGUAAAGGGAGCGUAGACGGCCAAGCAAGCCAGGGGUGAAAGCCCGGGGCCCAACCCCGGGACUGCCCUUGGAACUGCAUGGCUGGAGUGCGGGAGGGGCAGGCGGAAUUCCUGGUGUAGCGGUGAAAUGCGUAGAUAUCAGGAGGAACACCGGCGGCGAAGGCGGCCUGCUGGACCGCGACUGACGUUGAGGCUCGAAAGCGUGGGGAGUGAACAGGAUUAGAUACCCCUGUAGUC